This 292-nucleotide ribosomal RNA is filed under the name uncultured bacterium. Its description in RNAcentral is "partial 16S ribosomal RNA". It matches the Rfam family "Bacterial small subunit ribosomal RNA", at positions 505 to 796 of the family's 1533-position model. The record is from RNAcentral.
GUGCCAGCAGCCGCGGUAAGACGAACCGUGCGAACGUUAUUCGGAAUCACUGGGCUUAAAGGGUGUGUAGGCGGUCUGCCAAGUCAGGGGUGAAAUCCUUCGGCUCAACCGGAGAACUGCCCCUGAUACUGGCGGGCUCGAGGGAGAUAGAGGCAGCCGGAACUACCGGUGGAGCGGUGAAAUGCGUUGAUAUCGGUAGGAACGCCAGAGGCGAAAGCGGGCUGCUGGGUCUCUUCUGACGCUGAAACACGAAAGCUAGGGGAGCGAACGGGAUUAGAUACCCCCGUAGUCC